CUAAGGAACGGUUCCUAAUGUGUGGAAGAAGCGGCUCUUGUUAUACACGUGUAGCUAGGGUAUUGGUUUUGUGAUAGCGAGACGAGAAGAAAAUUCCAAGUCGACGAACGAUGAACUCGGUGCCCUCAGGCGACGCUGAGAUCGGAGGCAAAGGAUGGGAGAUCGCCGUUGGCUACUCCGAUGACGAUUCCGACGCCGGUUCCGGCUAAAGACUUGAUGAUAGUGGGAUCGGCGCCGUAUAGCCUCACUUUUUGAAUGGAGGUGGAUCGGAGGAGCUUGGCUGCAUCAGAGGGUGACGGGAGGUUGUCGGCAACUAAGCCGUAGUUUACUGUGCAUUUGCCGGCGAGAUGGAGAAGAGAAAGGAGGAGAGAGAAGAAGAAGAUGAAGAAAGCCAUGAAAGAAGAUGAAUGUAGAACAAGCGAGGUUUUGACCAAGGAUGAUGAUGAGGCAGACAGACACUGUGUUUGUUUUCAUGAAAGUGUUGAUGCUGGCUUCAUGUGGUUUGAUUCUUGACAGACUUUGUGUUUGUUUUCAUUUCCAAUGUGUGUUUAGUUUGACUUUCUUGGUAAAGAUUCAAUCAGAUAUGAGAAUACGGUUGAAGUUGAGUCUCCUGUUUACAAGCCAUUGGACAGUUCAAGGCUGGUAAAUCAAAUUCAGACGAUCUUUUUGAUGACAUAGGUCAAGCAAACUAAGCGAUCAUCUUAAGGAGCUUAUGCCUGGACUCACAGCUAAAGUAUUCCGUACAUACAAUGCAUCCAUCACUCUGGACAAAACGGUAUGAUUGAAACCAUGUGCCCCUCUGUUGUUGUUUAACUUCCAAAGUUUCUUAAUCUGAUUGUUCUACCAAUUUAUGUUUUUAUGUUUAUAUUUUAAAAUUUAUGUUUAAAAUGUUAUUUUUGACUAUGUUUUAUUUAAUAAAUAAAUUUUAUUUUUAAUAAAA
Long non-coding RNA from Raphanus sativus (radish), 940 nucleotides. RefSeq lists it as uncharacterized. The record is from RefSeq and is a predicted model, not a curated record. NCBI's taxonomy places the organism in Eukaryota, Viridiplantae, Streptophyta, Magnoliopsida, Brassicales, Brassicaceae. The transcript is spliced from 3 exons.